Molecule: ribosomal RNA, 432 nt
Filed under: uncultured bacterium
Lineage: Bacteria
Description: partial 16S ribosomal RNA
Rfam family: Bacterial small subunit ribosomal RNA
Source: RNAcentral
AGCGAACGCUGGCGGCAGGCCUAACACAUGCAAGUCGAACGAACUCUUCGGAGUUAGUGGCGGACGGGUGAGUAACACGUGGGAACGUGCCUUUAGGUUCGGAAUAACUCAGGGAAACUUGUGCUAAUACCGAAUGUGCCCUUCGGGGGAAAGAUUUAUCGCCUUUAGAGCGGCCCGCGUCUGAUUAGCUAGUUGGUGGGGUAAAGGCUCACCAAGGCGACGAUCAGUAGCUGGUCUGAGAGGAUGAUCAGCCACAUUGGGACUGAGACACGGCCCAAACCCCUACGGAAGGCAGCAGGGGGGAAUUUGCCGCAAUGGGCGAAAGCUGAACGCAGCCAGACCGGAGAAAUGAGGAAGUUUGGAGGAUUAAAAAUUUUUUUCCCCGGGAACGUUAAGAAGGGAACCCGUAAGAAAGCCCCCGGUAAAUUCCUG